AUUGUGUUUAUUAGCUCAACUAAGCUUUAAUACCAAUGAAAAAUUACUUGAGAAACUUGGUUUAACUACAAUUAUAUUAGUGUAGGUUCUAGUAAAAAGAGGUAUUGACUUAAUGUUUCAAGCUUAAAAAGAAAAAAAAAACCUCAUUCUCCGAGUUCUCACUCUUCCUCGUGUCAUUAGCCCAAAAACCCAGAACAACACUCCGUCUCAUUCGUGUCAAGCAAGAGUUCUCUAAGAUUUUGAGUUGUCAAUUGCAAUUCUCUUAAAAAGCUUCUCAAUAUCACAUUUUACUUUCAUAAAUUUAGCAACUUGAUAAUCCAAAAUUCAUCUUCACUUUCGAAUUGGUUAAAGAACCAAACUCUUAAUUUUUUUUCUAUCUCUUCUGGGUUUGGGUUUGUUGUUUCGUCUGCGGCUACUUGUGUUGCUUGCCGGCGUUGCAGCUGUUGUUAUUCCGUCACUUUUCUCUCUUAUUUUCGGGUCUGUUGUGGUUGAUUCUUCGGCGAGCUGCGAAUGUCUCUGCUCCCAAGUUAUUUUCUCUCUCUCAACUCUAUUGGUUGUCGCUGCUAUGGUGGUGCGAUCACCAUCGGUGUUGUUGUGCGUUGGUAUCGUUAUGGGUGUGUGUCGAGGCUUGAUGUAGAGCGAAAUAGAGAGUUGGUUAUGAAUUUGUAAUUAAAUUAAUGAUUCAGAGGUUGUAUUUAGGAGUAUAUAUCCUUAUUUGAGAAUAAAAUAUUAUAUUAUUUUGGGAAUCGAGUAAGGUAUUAUGUAAUAUGGUAUUUGGUUCGAAGAUAAUUUGUUGUGGGCCCUAACCCACAUGUCCAGGAUCAUUUUAUAGAUUAUGUUUCCGCCG
Beta vulgaris subsp. vulgaris (sugar beet) is the source of this 847-nucleotide long non-coding RNA. RefSeq lists it as uncharacterized. The transcript has 2 exons. The record is from RefSeq and is a predicted model, not a curated record. Lineage: Eukaryota; Viridiplantae; Streptophyta; Magnoliopsida; Caryophyllales; Amaranthaceae.